Gallus gallus (chicken) is the source of this 3208-nucleotide long non-coding RNA. The record is from Ensembl. Lineage: Eukaryota; Metazoa; Chordata; Aves; Galliformes; Phasianidae.
GACACAUUCAGACAUGCCCCAAGUACAGCGUGAGCAGCACACGUCCAUUUCCGAUGGUGAAGCAGCUUUUCUGCAUAAAGAGGACAUGGUGUUUCCAGUGGAGGAUGCAUUCUCUGAUUGUGUAUUAGUGGUCAGAUGCUGAGCUGGUGAACUCCUUUCCUCACAGGUAGAAAGAACUCUUGUGCAAGUCAAAAGCAGGGAACUUUGCAAUACCACCACCUGCCUUCUUCUACUGCUGCUGUUAGGUGCCUGAACUCCCUGGUUGCAUGGUUGUGACACUCCUGGGCACCUUGCAUGUGAUGUGACCAGCACCUCAGCCACCGAGACACACCACCAAGAGAGCCCGAGCUUCAACCCUGUGCUGUUUUUCUCCCUCUCCAAUGCCUACACAAUUAUGUGGAAGGCCCAGGCUACACAAACAAGACUUUGCAGUGUGUGUCAAAUCCUGCCUCCCAGAGCAAUCUUUUUGGCUUUGUCUCUCCAGAGCUUUUUGAUCAAAUUUACCAUUUCCCUAAGGAUGACAAGACUUCAGAGUUAGUUACAUCAGUAAAAGAAGAAAGAAGGAACCAGCCUAUCGCUAUUCCCUUGGUCCAAGACUCUGCAUCCUGGAUCACCUCUGCUUUCCCAUUUGGAGUCCAUACUCCCUCACUGCAGAAACAGGGAUUUGCAAGCAGAACUGAUCAAAGGAAGGAAAGGGGGAAGAAAAGCUGUGGGGCUGGUGCCUGUGGGCUGGAGCUCCUCAGUUGCCCAGAGAAGCAGCGGGUGGAAAGAGUAGAGGAAAGAGGCUUCCUGUAGGAAAAGAAAGAGCCUGCUUGGAUUACAGGCAAAAAUCUGGAAGGAUUUUUUUUUUAAGAGGAUUUCAGUGGUUACAACUUGUUACCUGAGCAAUGGUUAGUGGUAGCUGAUGGAGACCCUAGAAACAACACAACACCUUAUUUUCUGCUGCCUAUGAUCACAGUGUCCAGCUGUUAUUUUCAUCCUCCAAAGUAGCAUGAUGUACAAUUCCAUUCAGAUUUCCAUUUCCUUUUUUCACCAGAUAUGUCACCUUUUCUGUUUUCCCUAUAAAUACAUAAAUGUAAGACUUCUCUCCCUUCUUACUGCUAAACUUCUCAACUAAUGUCAAGAGGCAGGAGUCAGUGAAGAGUUUAUUAAGCAGACUUCUCCGUAGGAUCAGUUUUGCAGUUAUGCAUAAUACAACUUCACUUCUUUUAUUUUUCCUUAAGUAAAAAGUAGGGAAAGGGAGUUAUUUUAAAUUUAUGAGCUGAUGAGACAGUGAGUAAUGGUGAAUCACUGUUUAAUAUUUUAGGCAACCAUCUGCAAGGUGAGCUGUACUCCCAUCUCAUAUUGCUAGAACAAAGAAGUCACCUCAAGUUUCACAAACAGCAUCAGUCUCGCAUCAACCCCAAAAGGCAGUAUUCAGCACCAAAAGCAAGCAUCCUCCACCUAGGCAUCUUACUCAAACAGUCUUAAAACACAGGAGGAAAAGAAGCAAAACUACGAUCCAGGGGAGGUUCAGGACGGGUAUUAGGAAGCAUCUCUGCUCAGAAAGAGCGGUGAUGCAGUGGCACGGGCUGCCCAGGGAGGUGGUGCAGUCACUGUCCCUGGAGGUGUUCAGGAGCUGUGGAGAUGUGGCACUGAGGGACGUGGUUAAUGGGCAUGGUGGGGUGGGCUGGGGGUUGGACUAGAUAACCUGAGAGAUCUUUUCCAACCUUAAUGAUUCUAUGGUUCUAUAUUCUGCUUCUCCCACAAAGCACUAUCCAAAUACUCUGAAAUCCCACAUAGCUCAGGAAAACUUCUGUUAUAUCUGCCAUUUCCGUAUUUCCCCCUCCUCCUGCUCCCAGUGCUGGUAUGCACAUCAGUCUCCUGGUCAUUUUUGCUUUCAUGACAGCAUCGUCUCUCCAGAGUGGCCACAUAACCUGUGCCAAACACUCCUGCUGCCAUGUGGCAAGGCUACCUUUACCAUGUGUUAGCAGCAAAAUGCAAGCACAGCCUCUAGGCACAGCCGGGAAGCCUGUCUUUCUCCAAGGGCAUUUUCAAGUUUCCUUCCUUGAUUAAUGCAUGUUAAGGCUGACUAAUUUCAUAACUUCCAUCCCUGUAGCUGUUCUACAGCAGGGGAAAAUGCAAUUUCCUCUUAGUUGGCAAGUGUCACAACAGCUUUGUGAACCGUGACAAUGUACAUUGCUUACUGUUGAAGUGCCCACAAAAUCUGAGAUAUGAAUAACAGUUCAGCAGUAAAUGUGAGUUAUUAAAUUACUAUGGAGAGUCAGGGUGUGGUGUGCCUCUGUGACUCAGCAGAAAUACAGCUCUACGUGCAACAUGUGCACAUCACAGCCGCUCCAAAGGAAGUGGCAUCAGUUGUUCUGGGACUCAUUUCAAUGAAGAACGGAAGAGUUUCACACCUUUGUCUGCAUCUUUUACGUCUGGAGGAAGGUCACUCAUGUCCAUUGUCUUUGCAAACGACAGAAGAACUUACUGUGAUGCAUCCCGUUCCUUCGUAAUGCUUUAUUUAUGUACAUAUAAACAAUUUAGUCUCCACAUUGGUUGCAGACCGGUUACACUCCUUCCACAGCAAGUGCUUUAUCACCAUUCAGUGAAAUCUGAUGUCACAUAAUGUCAACUGACAUUCUUUUUUUUCCCUAAAAACAAGCUGCUUCAUACUGUGAAGUAAAAAAUUUGAGAAGCUGAGAUGAGCUGAUUUAGAUCAGAAGGAUGUUUUCAUCUCUUCUCAUGGCAACGAUUCACUACCUGUGCUACUAAAUUGCAUGCAAACGUAAUUUCCCACCACUGCUUUUGUUUUUUUCAAUUGAGAAUGUCUCCAUCAGCUGAAGGAAGCUUCUGGCAUGCGUUGCCUUAUCCCACACAACACGGGGAGACAACCAUGUUUAGGUCAGUUUCUGGAUGUCUCACUCAACUGGGCAGAUCUGGCACUAAUUUAUUGCUAAAGAAAUUUCUCCUAUCAUCCAGAAUUCUCACUUCAGAGAUAAGAUCUGGCACGCAGAAAGCAUAGGUUUGUUUUCUAAAUGCUCUGCUUCCCUCCAUAAAAUUUCAAAAUGGUUGUUCACAAGCUUGAAGGAGGUGUCUUGAAGGACAGUAACAGAAUCACAAACAUUCUGAGCACUUCUUUUGUCUUUUGUGUGUCUCCAAAAAAAUAAAGAACUGCAGAGCUUUCCACCCUCUCAGUUUUUCAGAAUUACAUAUCCAAGCAAAC